RNAcentral lists this ribosomal RNA (301 nucleotides) under uncultured bacterium. Its description in RNAcentral is "partial 16S ribosomal RNA". It matches the Rfam family "Bacterial small subunit ribosomal RNA", at positions 509 to 807 of the family's 1533-position model. The record is from RNAcentral.
CAGUAGCCGCGGGAAUACGUAGGGUGCAAGCGUUAAUCGGAAUUACUGGGCGUAAAGCGUGCGCAGGCGGUUAUAUAAGACAGAUGUAAAAUCCCCGGGCUCAACCUGGGAACUGCAUUUGUGACUGUAUAGCUAGAGUACGGCAGAGGGGGAUGGAAUUCCGCGUGUAGCAGUGAAAUGCGUAGAUAUGCGGAGGAACACCGAUGGCGAAGGCAAUCCCCUGGGCCUGUACUGACGCUCAUGCACGAAAGCGUGGGGAGCAAACAGGAUUAGAUACCCCCGUAGUCCCUGUCUCUUAUAC